RNAcentral lists this ribosomal RNA (1644 nucleotides) under Triticum aestivum (bread wheat). RNAcentral's name for it is "partial small subunit ribosomal RNA". The record is from RNAcentral. Lineage: Eukaryota; Viridiplantae; Streptophyta; Magnoliopsida; Poales; Poaceae.
AUGAAACACAUUUACUCAUCAUCAUACAUGCAUGCAAGAGUGCGUCCAUAUAAGCCCAUAUGUUGCACCGGUGGCUUCCCAUCUUCUUCCAAGCCAGCCAUGGAUUCCCUCCUCUGGUCCGUGGAGCUCCUCUCCCUCCUUUGCUUCUUCGUCUUCUACUACCGCCACCUCCAGUCCAAGAAAAUAAGCAAGGCGGAGCCGACCGAAUGGCCAAUCCUGGGCCAUCUUUUCGGCAUGGUCGCCAACCUGUCCCACUUCCAUGACUGGGCCACCGGCAUCCUGGCCGGCACGCGCUACAACUUCGAAGCUCGCGCCGGGAUCACCGGCGUCCGCUUCUUCGUCACCUGCGACCCCGCCAACGUGCGCCACAUCUUCACCUCCAACUUCGCCAACUACCCCAAGGGCGACGAGUUCGCCGAGAUCUUCGACGUCUUCGGCGACGGCAUCUUCAACGCCGACGGCGACUCCUGGCGCCGCCAGCGUGCCAAGUCACAGCUCAUCAUGGCGGGCCCUCGCUUCCGCGCCUUCUCGGCGCGCUACAGCCGCGACAAGGUGGAGAGGAGCCUCCUGCCUUUCCUCGCCCACGCCGCCGAGGCCGGGUCCACACCCUGCGACCUGCACGACGUGUUCCUGCGCCUGACGUUCGACAUGACCUGCAACCUCGUCUUCGGCGUCGACCCCGGGUGCCUGCAGAUUGACCUCCCCGUGGUGCCCUUCGCGCGCGCCAUGGACGACGUGCUCGAGACGCUCUUCCUCCGCCACAUCAUCUCGCCCGCGUGCUGGAAGCUCAUGUACCGGUAUGAGGUCGGCACCGAGAGGAAGAUGGCCGCGGCUCGUAGGACCAUCGACCGGUUCGCCGCGGACACCAUCGCGAAACGCAGGGCCGACCACAAGCUCGGCGACGAGGGCGUCACCGACUCGUCCGACAUGCUCUCGUCCUUCAUCUGCAACGGUGACGCGAGCGAGUACAGCGACGACUUCUUGCGUGACACCACGGUGAACCUCCUCCUCGCCGGCCGGGACACCACCGGCGCGGCGCUGUCCUGGUUCUUCUACCUGCUCUCCAAGAACCCACGCGUCGAGCAGAAGAUCCUGGACGAACUGGCGCCGAUCGCUUCCCGGAAGAAGCAGCUGGCGGGCGACGACGGCAUGGCGGUGUUCGACGUGAGCGAGCUGAGCGGCAUGGUGUACCUGCACGCGGCGCUGUGCGAGUGCCUGAGGCUGUACCCGUCCGUGCCCUUCGAGCACAAGGCGGCGGUGGCCGACGACGUGCUCCCCAGCGGGCACGAGAUGAAGGCCGGCGACAAGAUACUCAUCUUCUCCUACUGCAUGGCGAGGAUGGAGGGCGUGUGGGGCAAGGACUGCAUGGAGUUCAGGCCGGAGAGGUGGGUCACCGCCGACGGGAAGCUGAGGUACGAGCCGUCCUACAAGUUCAUCUCCUUCAACGCCGGACCCAGGACCUGCCUCGGCAAGGAGAUGGCGUUCGUGCAGAUGAAGACCGCCGCGGCGGCCGUGCUCUGGAACUUCGCAGUCAAGACCGUGCCUGGCCACGUCGUCGAGCCGAAGCUGUCCAUCAUUCUCCACAUGAAGAACGGGCUCGCCGUCACGGUCAAGAGGAGGAACGUCGCGGGCGUGCAUGGCUAG